RNAcentral lists this ribosomal RNA (322 nucleotides) under uncultured Rhogostoma. RNAcentral describes it as "SSU rRNA". It matches the Rfam family "Eukaryotic small subunit ribosomal RNA", at positions 630 to 955 of the family's 1831-position model. The record is from RNAcentral. Lineage: Eukaryota; Cercozoa; Thecofilosea; Cryomonadida.
GAUUUCUGGGCAAUAGAAUUUGGCCGGCCACGGUUUCGUGUGUUAGUGCUUUGUUCUGUGUCCAUCCUUCCAAUCGCUAUUGGCUAUUCUUCAUUGAAUGGUCAGUGGUAUUGGAUCUUUUACUUUGAAAAAAUUAGAGUGUUUCAAGCAGGCUUUAUGCUAUGAAUACAUUAGCAUGGAAUAAUAAUUUAGGACUUCGGUUCUAUUUUGUUGGUUUCUAGGACUGAAGUAAUGAUUGAUAGGGAUAGUUGGGGGUGCUAGUAUUCAGCGGCCAGAGGUGAAAUUCUCGGAUUCGCUGAAGACUAACUUAUGCGAAAGCAUU